RNAcentral lists this ribosomal RNA (1356 nucleotides) under uncultured bacterium. RNAcentral describes it as "bacterial SSU rRNA". It matches the Rfam family "Bacterial small subunit ribosomal RNA", at positions 28 to 1381 of the family's 1533-position model. The record is from RNAcentral.
AUUGAACGCUGGCGGCAGGCUUAACACAUGCAAGUCGAGCGGUAACAGGAGAAGCUUGCUUCUUGCUGACGAGCGGCGGACGGGUGAGUAAUACUUAGGAAUCUGCCCAGUAGUGGGGGAUAGCUCGGGGAAACUCGAAUUAAUACCGCAUACACCCUACGGGGAAAAGGGGGCGCUUGCGCUCUCGCUAUUGGAUGAGCCCAAGUCGGAUUAGCUAGUUGGUGGGGUAAAGGCCUACCAAGGCGACGAUCUGUAGCUGGUCUGAGAGGAUGAUCAGCCACACCGGGACUGAGACACGGCCCGGACUCCUACGGGAGGCAGCAGUGGGGAAUAUUGGACAAUGGGGGCAACCCUGAUCCAGCCAUGCCGCGUGUGUGAAGAAGGCCUUUUGGUUGUAAAGCACUUUAAGCAGUGAAGAAGACUCUAUGGUUAAUACCCAUAGACGAUGACAUUAGCUGCAGAAUAAGCACCGGCUAACUCUGUGCCAGCAGCCGCGGUAAUACAGAGGGUGCAAGCGUUAAUCGGAAUUACUGGGCGUAAAGCGAGCGUAGGUGGCUUGAUAGUCAGAUGUGAAAUCCCCGGGCUUAACCUGGGAACUGCAUCUGAUACUGUUAGGCUAGAGUAGGUGAGAGGGGGGUAGAAUUUCAGGUGUAGCGGUGAAAUGCGUAGAGAUCUGAAGGAAUACCGAUGGCGAAGGCAGCCUCCUGGCAUCAUACUGACACUGAGGUUCGAAAGCGUGGGUAGCAAACAGGAUUAGAUACCCUGGUAGUCCACGCCGUAAACGAUGUCUACUAGUCGUUGGGGAACUUGAUUCCUUAGUGACGCAGCUAACGCAAUAAGUAGACCGCCUGGGGAGUACGGCCGCAAGGUUAAAACUCAAAUGAAUUGACGGGGGCCCGCACAAGCGGUGGAGCAUGUGGUUUAAUUCGAUGCAACGCGAAGAACCUUACCUGGUCUUGACAUAUCUAGAAUCCUGCAGAGAUGCGGGAGUGCCUUCGGGAAUUAGAAUACAGGUGCUGCAUGGCUGUCGUCAGCUCGUGUCGUGAGAUGUUGGGUUAAGUCCCGCAACGAGCGCAACCCUUUUCCUUAGUUACCAGCGGUUUGGCCGGGGACUCUAAGGAUACUGCCAGUGACAAACUGGAGGAAGGCGGGGACGACGUCAAGUCAUCAUGGCCCUUACGACCAGGGCUACACACGUGCUACAAUGGUAGGUACAGAGGGCAGCUACACAGCGAUGUGAUGCGAAUCUCAAAAAGCCUAUCGCAGUCCAGAUUGGAGUCUGCAACUCGACUCCAUGAAGUCGGAAUCGCUAGUAAUCGCGGAUCAGAAUGUCGCGAUGAAUACGUUCCCGGGCCU